AUUAGAUACCCGGGUAGUCCACGCAGUAUACGAUGAUCACUAGCUGUUUGCUAUACACUGUAAGCGGCACAGCGAAAGCGUUAAGUGAUCCACCUGGGGAGUACGCCGGCAACGGUGAAACUCAAAGGAAUUGACGGGGGUCCGCACAAGCGGAGGAACAUGUGGUUUAAUUCGAUGAUACGCGAGGAACCUUACCCGGGCUUGAAUUGCAGAUGACGGAUCCAGAGAUGGUGACUUCCUUCGGGACAUCUGUGAAGGUGCUGCAUGGUUGUCGUCAGCUCGUGCCGUGAGGUGUCGGCUUAAGUGCCAUAACGAGCGCAACCCCCGCGGGCAGUUGCUAACAGGUCAAGCUGAGGACUCUGCCCGGACUGCCGGCGCAAGCCGUGAGGAAGGCGGGGAUGACGUCAAAUCAGCACGGCCCUUACGUCCGGGGCGACACACGUGUUACAAUGGUCGGUACAGCGGGAAGCCAGGCGGCGACGCCGAGCGGAACCCGAAAGCCGGUCUCAGUUCGGAUCGGAGUCUGCAACCCGACUCCGUGAAGCUGGAUUCGCUAGUAAUCGCGCAUCAGCCAUGGCGCGGUGAAUACGUCCCCGGGCCUUGUACACACCGCCCGUCAAGCCAUGGGAGCCGAGGGCGCUU
This 642-nucleotide ribosomal RNA is filed under the name uncultured bacterium. Its description in RNAcentral is "bacterial SSU rRNA". It matches the Rfam family "Bacterial small subunit ribosomal RNA", at positions 777 to 1422 of the family's 1533-position model. The record is from RNAcentral.